Molecule: ribosomal RNA, 767 nt
Filed under: uncultured Staphylococcus sp.
Lineage: Bacteria; Bacillati; Bacillota; Bacilli; Caryophanales; Staphylococcaceae
Description: bacterial SSU rRNA
Rfam family: Bacterial small subunit ribosomal RNA
Source: RNAcentral
GAUGAACGCUGGCGGCGUGCCUAAUACAUGCAAGUCGAGCGAACAGACGAGGAGCUUACUCCUCUGACGUUAGCGGCGGACGGGUGAGUAACACGUGGAUAACCUACCUAUAAGACUGGGAUAACUUCGGGAAACCGGAGCUAAUACCGGAUAACAUGUUGAACCGCAUGGUUCAACAGUGAAAGACGGUCUUGCUGUCACUUAUAGAUGGAUCCGCGUCGCAUUAGCUAGUUGGUAAGGUAACGGCUUACCAAGGCAACGAUGCGUAGCCGACCUGAGAGGGUGAUCGGCCACACUGGAACUGAGACACGGUCCAGACUCCUACGGGAGGCAGCAGUAGGGAAUCUUCCGCAAUGGGCGAAAGCCUGACGGAGCAACGCCGCGUGAGUGAAGAAGGUCUUCGGAUCGUAAAACUCUGUUAUUAGGGAAGAACAAAUGUGUAAGUAACUAUGCACGUCUUGACGGUACCUAAUCAGAAAGCCACGGCUAACUACGUGCCAGCAGCCGCGGUAAUACGUAGGUGGCAAGCGUUAUCCGGAAUUAUUGGGCGUAAAGCGCGCGUAGGCGGUUUUUUUAAGUCUGAUGUGAAAGCCCACGGCUCAACCGUGGAGGGUCAUUAGAAACUGGAAAACUUGAGUGCAGAAGAGGAAAGUGGAAUUCCAUGUGUAGCGGUGAAAUGCGCAGAGAUAUGGAGGAACACCAGUGGCGAAGGCGACUUUCUGGUCUGUAACUGACGCUGAUGUGCGAAAGCGUGGGGAUCAAACAGG